GUGGCGGAGGGUGGGGCGGAAGAGCAGAAGGAGACUGGGAAAGGCACUGUCGGUGACAUCACCGAUAGGGCGUUUCUAUGUAGAUGAGGCAGCGCAGGGGCUGCUGCUUCGCCACGAAGGAUUUCCCGUGCCGUGGGAGCGGGUUCAGGACCGCUGGUCGGACCUGAGAGUCCCAGCUGUGUGUGGGAAGCUCAGCUGUGUAAUUUGUAGUAACGAAGCAGAAGUUACAACGAAAAGACAAGUUUUCCUGUGCUUGGCAGGGCCCCCCUCCCCCCCACCAAGGCCUGCAGUGGAUAGAGCCUAGCAGAUCCUGGACAAUACUAUCCUAAAAGCUACAUCUCUGACAGUGAUUUCCAGCGACUUUGUCAACACGGUCCGCCCCCAGCAAGUAUAAGAGGAAAAACAACAAAUGUCUUUACUGCCUUGUCUUUCCCCCUUGCCACUUGUCAUUAUUCAAGUUUUGUAAGUUCCUGAUUUCCAUUCAGUGCAGCUGCAAGGUUACCAGCUGUGCUUGCGUUGCAAGACCUGUCACAGUUUGAUUAACUGCCUUCUUUCUGCUUCUGUAAGCCCUCUUGCCUGCCCCGCGAGUUUCACACCAUCAAAUUCCUGCUGCACCAUUCAAACUAGCCAACCCCCUUUCAGAAGUGUGUAUAAAAGUCAAGCCCCCUGUCUUUCUUCGGGGCUCAUGCUAGGCCCGAGUGCAUUCAAUAAAAUCCUUCUGUUC
RNAcentral lists this long non-coding RNA (724 nucleotides) under Homo sapiens (human). RNAcentral describes it as "HSALNT0295369". The record is from RNAcentral. Lineage: Eukaryota; Metazoa; Chordata; Mammalia; Primates; Hominidae.